Molecule: ribosomal RNA, 484 nt
Filed under: uncultured bacterium
Lineage: Bacteria
Description: partial 16S ribosomal RNA
Rfam family: Bacterial small subunit ribosomal RNA
Source: RNAcentral
GUUGAACGCUGGCGGCGUGCUUUACACAUGCAAGUCGAGCGAAAGGGCGGGGUUCUUGCUCGCGUGGCGUUAGGGGCGGAUGGGUAAUGAAUAGGAGCGUAACCUGUAGUGGAGGAUGGGCCGGCUCAAGCCGGAUUAAUACAGCAUAGGACCUGAGGGUGAAAGGGGGGGACCGAAAGGCCUCGCGGUUUUGGAUCGGCCGAUUUCGUAUUAGCUAGUUGGUGGGGUAAAGGGGUACCAAGGCGACGAUCCGUAGCUGAUCUGAGAGGCCGACCAGCCACACUGGAACUGAGACACGGCCCAGACUCCUACGGGAGGCAGCAGUGGGGAAUCUUGCACAAAGGGCGAAACCCUGACGCAGCCACGCCGCGUGAGGGAAGAAGGCCUUCGGAUCGUAAACCGCUUUUGUUCGGGAAGAAAUCCUCUGUGCUAAUACCCCGGCGUGAUGACGGUACCGGAAGAAAAAGCACCGGCUAACUACGUG